ACUCCGCACUCUUAGGCUGCGUGUGAGGCCUGCGAGUGCUCGGGAGCUGCCGCGGUCACAAGAGAAAGCCUAGCUGUCAAUGACAGCCCCAGAGCAUCUGGGCGCCUUGCGAUACCCGGGUGUCUGUAGGCAGCCAGGAGACACUUCCAAGCUGAUCUGGAAUCUUUCCUCGCCCAGCUCUGUCCCUCGCAGGGAUGGCAAAGGACAUUACGACCUACAUCCCUUCCCGGAUCUGAUGGCUUCAGAUUGGCAGAUUGUGUUAAAGUGGAAGAUAUGAUGGCUGUAGAUCCAGAGUCUCGUGAAGAUGAGGUCAACUGACUGGACUGUGCUUCCUGUGAUAUAAUAUGCUAAGUCCUAUGCUAAGACCAGCCUGAGCAACAUACUGAGACCAUCUAUAAAAAAACAAACACAAAAAAACUCUUAAUAGUAAGUAGACACCACAUUCUUCUGUGUCUAGAUAGUUGAGUGGACAACUUGAGCUACCAUAAUGGGCAAUUUCAUCAAAGUAAACCAAUUAUGUAGUCAAAAAGCUGUAUCAAUAAUGUAGCCAGAAGAGAGGAUAUGACUGGUUACACUGGAAACCUAGAAUGAACAAAGUCAGUCAGAGAGUUUGGUUACGUGGAUGGUCAAUUUCUUCUUUUUAAGUAAAUAUUAAUGUUUAUUAGGUUUUUUUGAGAC
This 678-nucleotide long non-coding RNA is filed under the name Homo sapiens (human). Its description in RNAcentral is "HSALNT0272475". The record is from RNAcentral. Lineage: Eukaryota; Metazoa; Chordata; Mammalia; Primates; Hominidae.